AUGCCAUCUGCCUCAGCAUGCCAUGCCACUGAUAUGCUGAGAAAUAUGGAGAUGCUUCAGCUGGAUACUUUGAGUCAGAAUCUUUCACAAGACUGCAGUGAAAGUGCCAGCCAGGACUUAGGUUUCAUCCAAAGGUAUAAUUGGGGAAGUAUCUGCUUCCAAGUUCACAUGACUUUUAGCAGAAUUUUAGUCCCUCAGUGUUGUUGGAUUGGUAACUUCAAUUCCUAAUGUUGAGUGGAGGUCAUCAUUAGUUUCUUGCCAUAUGGACCUCCCCUAAAUGACACCUUUAUCAAAGCCAGUAAGGGAGAGAAUGGACUAGCACAAUGGAUUUCAUUGUGUUGUAUUACCUAAUCACAGAACUAACAUAUUAUUACUAUGGCUAGAAGCAAGACACAGGUUCUGUUCGAACUUGAGGGGUUAGGAGGGAAUAACAUAAGGACAGAAGUUGUGUGUGUGUGUGUGUGUGUGUGUGUGUGUGUGUGUGUUUAUUUUUUUAGAGAUGGAAUCUUACUCUGUCAUCCAGGCUGGAAUGCAGUGGCGCAAUCAUAGCUCACUGCAGCCUUGAACUGCAGGCCUCAAGGUAUGUCCCUGCCUCAGCUUCCUGAGUAGCUGUGACUACAUAUGCCUGCCAGUGUGCCUAGCUUACAUAAGACACAAGUACCAAGAAGUGGGAUGAUCAUUAGGAACAAUUUAAAGUCUGUGUUCCUUCUUGAUAUGACACUCAAAUUCACUACCUAUUCGCCCCCAAAUUUGAUACCCUUGAAUAUGUUUUAUUUUUCAGAAAUCUUCUACUAGUCACCAAGAGUCAAGACAAAAUGUACACAGCCAAAGAUCAUGUGGUUUGACUUUAGCUUGGGGAUUUCCCAUUGGCCAGGCCAAAAUCUCUUUAGAGGUACUCUGUCCUCUUUCUGCCCUAUCAUCUUUCCUUCCACUUCUCCUUUUAUACGGCAGACCUGCACUGUGAACUGCAGCUCUCUCUACUUGUUCCUGCUUCCUUCCAUUCAUCCUUCAAAGACAACUCCCCACCCCCAGAGCCCCAACUUUUAUAUGACUUGACAUAUGUUUCUUGGAAGAGCUGAAUUAAGGCACAGAUAUAAUCCCAAACCGGGUUUCUGAAAAUAAAAGUGACCAAGGGUAUGGAUGGCUCUUGACAAUUCUUGAACCAUACAAACACUGUAAAUAACUUCAAAGAGGAAAAAAAUUCUGUAACUAUCUUUUAUUUCUGUUCCUUUUUAAAUUUCUUCUUGUAGGCCAGGUGUGGCGUCUCAUGCCUGUAAUAUCAGAACUUUGAGAGGCUGAGGUGGGUGAAUCAUGAGGUCAGGAGAUCAAGACCAUUCUGGUCAACAUGGUGAGACCCCAUCUCUACUAAAUUACAAAGAAUUAGCCAGGUGUGGUGUCAUGCACCUGUAGUCCCAGCUACUUGGGAGACUGAGGCAGGGGAAUUGCUUGAGCUCUGUAGGCCGAGAUUGCAGUGAAGCAAUAUUGUGCCACUGCACUCUAGCCAAGGUGACAGAGACUCCCUCUCAGUAAUAAUAAAAACCAUUUCUUCUUGUCAUUUCAUAUGUGUCCAUUUGUUUUGGGGAAAAACAUACCUGCAUGAUCCCUUAAUUAUUUGCCAUCCUUCAUUUGGUGUGUUCUCUUAAAAUUAAGAGAGAGACAGAGAGAGAGGGGGUGAAGCACACGUAUGAGAGAAAAUGCAAAUAACAUACAUCUUUCUUGCUUCUCUUUUUAGGUAUACAAGUUUACAUCAAAAAAUGGUUUGCCAUGAAACAUAACAGUAUUUCUGUAUACAGGUUUUAAUAUCAUAAUUACUUUAAAUAAUUUUUAUGCUAUUUUAUUAAAUUCCAGUUACAUGCAAGGGACAUAAUAAUAAAUAUAUGCAACUGUUUCUGUCAAGGCACCUACAGAAUUUCAAAUUUAUUUCCAUGUCAUUCUUGGAAAAAUAUGUCAUGCCAUUCUAACCAUUUUAUUUUUUGUAAAUGGACAUACCGAGGUGCUAAACAAAUUAUUUAUCAAUUGGCUUCAGGAAUUAACUAAUUCAGAGAAGCCAGGUUGAAAGAUUCUAGGGAAACUUUUUAGAGUAAUUGUUUCUGAGUUUGAAAUCUUUAGAGUUUUAUUCAUCAGAAUUGAGUUCUCUUCUGAACAAACAGGAAUAAUAAUGCAGAUUGAUGUCGUGGAUGAUGAAGUGCCAGAACGGAUACCUUUUUGAAUCUCUAUUUGUGAAAAAUCUGAACAGCUGCCCUCCCACGUGUUUGCGGAUAAGACCCACACACGAUGUGUGCAGGUACAUGCUACCCAGAAACUAAGAAUAUUUCCUAAUGCCUGCCCAUUUUGUUUUUGGCUGAGUUCUCUUUGUCUAAGGUUAUGGAAUUAUUUUUUAUUACUAAGUUUUCAUUAUUUAAUUGCAUCACAAAUAUCUUCUAUCAAUUUGUUGGGUUUUCACUUUGCUUAUGAUACCUGGUCAUGUAGAAAAUCAUGACAAUUUAAUCUACUGUAUUUACUAUAUAUUUCUGUAGAUACACACAUGAUAAGUAUUUGGAAAAGUUUCCGGUUAUCUGUUAUUUUAGUGAAUGUAGGGAAAGGAGACUUGUUGGAAGACUUGGUAAUGUUUUAUUUUAUUACAUUAAAAUCUGAAGCAAAUGGGCAAAAUGUAAUAUUUUAUAAACUUAAAAUGUUAGGAAUACAGUCUAUACGUUGUUUAUCUGAUUACUUUUAGAAUUUAUAAUAUAUUAAGUCUACAGAUAAUACAUAUGUUUACACAUGCACAAACAUAGGUUAGGUGAUGGUAGUUGCCCUCCCACUUCAUCUCUGCAACUGGGACUGUUUCAAUCAGGCAAGAGCAAAGCAGAGACAGCUGGAGGAGAUCAGAAAGAUGUGGGGGAGCACAUUUGUGACUCAGCACUGCCCACUGUAAUCAAUUCAGGGAUCUCAAUUCGGGCUUCCUUAAUUUAUCCUGUCAAAUGUAGUUCUUUCUAAUUAAGGAUACAGCCUGUAAAUAAAGUGACGAUAAAAGAGAAGAGAGACAAGGACUUUCAAAGGGAACUCUUUUAGGAGGACAUUUGAGAAUCCGCAGAGUAAAAUAUAAUGUUUUUUUCUGAGAAUGUGAUGAUACACAUUUUGCAUUCACUGCAAAGAUGCGCAAAUAAAAUCUGGAGGAAAUAAAGGUAAAAUUGGGCUGGAGAUAUUUGUCCUUUUUUGAGGAAAUAUGAUUGACAUAUCUGAAGAGUAAUACCAAGGACCUGAAGUUACACAUAAGGGCAAGCAAAGAGAAGAAGAGUUAGAUUUAAAGAGCAAGAAAACAGAAAUUAUACUGCUAGUUUGACAUAUCAAGGUUGAUCACCAGAUAUGAUGCAAAGGACCAGGCAGCAAAUUGAAAAUAAAUAAACACUGUUCCUUUUGGAAUGAAGCUGACUGAAAAAAAAAGUUUGAUGAACUAAAAUAAACUUUAUGGUAAUAUGCUUGUAUAAUAUAGAACAAAAGACAAAAUAACAUUCCUCCAUUUAAGAACUGUGAGUAACAAGAGUAUAAAUACGGAGAAAGAUAUUUUGUUUAUUAACAUUCACUUUAGUUCACAAUAAGUUCCAUUUGUAAUGGUUAUUUUAUUUUUCCGAUGGCUUUAUACAUCUUGGUGAUAGCAAGGCACUUAUAGCACAGCUUUUGUUGUUAGGCUCCAUAAGGAUAUUUUUUCUCCUAUUUGGUUUUUCAAAUAAAGUUUAAAAAUUUGCCUCCUUCAACCCUUCACUCCAUCUAAUCCAUAUAAAUUUCCUCAAGGCUAAAUAACAUUUGAAGGUGAACAAAAGAAACCCAGCUUGUCAUAACUCAGGAAGGUGAUCAAAAGAAGCCAGGUGCUCCCUUAACCUUUGAUUACUUACACACAGAAAGUACUUUGCUUUGUGUCCUUAGAUUACAUUAGUGAUCAUGACAAUAGAAAGAAAUUUUGGGUAAUAGAAGGAAAUAGAGAUGUCUGGCUUGACUACAUAUUUUUAAUUAUAGAAAUGUACAUGUGUGUGUGUUAUAUUUGCAUUUGUAUUUAUUUUUGUUGGUGUAACUCAUCUUUUUUUUUAUUAUAUACUAAGUUCUGGGG
Callithrix jacchus (white-tufted-ear marmoset) is the source of this 4084-nucleotide long non-coding RNA. NCBI's taxonomy places the organism in Eukaryota, Metazoa, Chordata, Mammalia, Primates, Cebidae. The record is from Ensembl.